This is a long non-coding RNA of Topomyia yanbarensis, 347 nucleotides long. RefSeq lists it as uncharacterized. The transcript is spliced from 3 exons. Lineage: Eukaryota; Metazoa; Arthropoda; Insecta; Diptera; Culicidae. The record is from RefSeq and is a predicted model, not a curated record.
UAAAAUAUAUUGCUGAACUCACACGGUUAGAACAAAGGCAGUAAUUGCAAUCGAAGCCAAGAAUUUGCUAGGUUUAAUCGAGCAGUUGAAAUACAGCAAGAAGAACAGAAUUAAAACGUAAAAGGGACUAAAACAGUCCUUCGAAACAUUGACCGCCAUUGCAGGACCUUGCGGUUUCGUUCCAUUUUCCUACCAAGAGUCGUUAGAAGCACCCAGUUCUGAAUCGAUCGUUACCACCUACAACGAACCUUUGUUGGACGAUAAUAAAAUUCUUACACAACUUAAGGAAAAAUAUAAAGAAACAAGAGACAGCAAUGAGCGAUACAGGACUUUAACUACACUUUCCA